RNAcentral lists this ribosomal RNA (416 nucleotides) under uncultured bacterium. RNAcentral's name for it is "bacterial SSU rRNA". It matches the Rfam family "Bacterial small subunit ribosomal RNA", at positions 30 to 442 of the family's 1533-position model. The record is from RNAcentral.
AUUGAACGCUGGCGGCGUGCCUUACACAUGCAAGUCGAACGGCAGCGGACCUUCGGGUGCCGGCGAGUGGCGAACGGGUGAGUAAUAUAUCGGAACGUACCUUUCAGUGGGGGAUAACGUAGCGAAAGUUACGCUAAUACCGCAUAUUCUGUGAGCAGGAAAGCAGGGGAUCGCAAGACCUUGCGCUGAUUGAGCGGCCGAUAUCAGAUUAGCUAGUUGGUGAGGUAAAGGCUCACCAAGGCGACGAUCUGUAGCGGGUCUGAGAGGAUGAUCCGCCACACUGGAACUGAGACACGGACCCGACUCCUACGGGAGGCAGCAGUAAGGAAUAUUGGUCAAUGGGCGAAAGCCUGAACCAGCCACUCCACGCGUGCAGGAAGAAGGCCCUACUGGGUUGGUAAACUAGCUUUUAUUCA